UGGACAGAAAGACCCUAUGAAGCUUUACUGUAGCUUGGAAUUGGGUUCGGGCUUUUCUUGCGCAGGAUAGGUGGGAGGCUAAGAAAAUAAUCUUGCGGGAUUGUUAGAGCCAAUGGUGAGAUACCACUCUGGAAAAGCUAGAAUUCUAACCUUGAAAGCCGUUAUCCGGCCAAGGAACAGUUCCAGGUAGGCAGUUUGACUGGGGCGGUCGCCUCCUAAAAAGUAACGGAGGCGUGCAAAGGUUCUCUCAGGCUGGUCGGAAAUCAGUCGUAGAGUGUAAAGGCAUAAGAGAGCUUGACUGUGAGACCUACAAGUCGAACAGAGACGAAAGUCGGCCUUAGUGAUCCGGCGGUACCGAGUGGAAGGGCCGUCGCUCAACGGAUAAAAGUUACUCUAGGGAUAACAGGCUGAA
RNAcentral lists this ribosomal RNA (412 nucleotides) under Pyropia endiviifolia. RNAcentral describes it as "bacterial LSU rRNA". It matches the Rfam family "Bacterial large subunit ribosomal RNA", at positions 2077 to 2486 of the family's 2925-position model. The record is from RNAcentral. Lineage: Eukaryota; Rhodophyta; Bangiophyceae; Bangiales; Bangiaceae.